AGGCUGCAACUCGCCUACAUGAAGUUGGAAUCGCUAGUAAUCGCGAAUCAGAAUGUCGCGGUGAAUACGUUCCCGGGUCUUGUACACACCGCCCGUCACACCACGAGAGUUUACAACACCCGAAGUCAGUGGCCUAACCGCGAGGAGGGAGCAGCCGAAGGCAGGUCGGAUGACUGGGGUGAAGUCGUAACAAGGUAUC
This 199-nucleotide ribosomal RNA is filed under the name uncultured bacterium. RNAcentral's name for it is "partial 16S ribosomal RNA". It matches the Rfam family "Bacterial small subunit ribosomal RNA", at positions 1302 to 1500 of the family's 1533-position model. The record is from RNAcentral.